GUAGGUGGCAAGCGUUGUCCGGAAUUAUUGGGGCGUAAAGCGCGCGCAGGCGGUUCUUUAAGUCUGAUGUGAAAGCCCACGGGCUCAACCGUGGGAGGGGUCAUUGGAAACUGGAGAACUUGAGUACAGAAGAGGAAAGCGGAAUUCCACGUGUAGCGGUGAAAUGCGUAGAGAUGUGGAGGAACACCAGUGGCGAAGGCGGCUUUCUGGUCUGUAACUGACGCUGAGGCGCGAAAGCGUGGGGAGCAAACAGGAUUAGAUACCCUGGUAGUCCACGCCGUAAACGAUGAGUGCUAAGUGUUAGGGGUUUCCGCCCCUCAGUGCUGCAGCUAGCGCAUUAAGCACUCCGCCUGGGGAGUACGGCCGCAAAGGCUGA
RNAcentral lists this ribosomal RNA (376 nucleotides) under uncultured organism. RNAcentral describes it as "partial 16S ribosomal RNA". It matches the Rfam family "Bacterial small subunit ribosomal RNA", at positions 527 to 897 of the family's 1533-position model. The record is from RNAcentral.